Molecule: ribosomal RNA, 302 nt
Filed under: Alpheus cristulifrons
Lineage: Eukaryota; Metazoa; Arthropoda; Malacostraca; Decapoda; Alpheidae
Description: partial 16S ribosomal RNA
Source: RNAcentral
CUUUUAAUUGGAGGCUUGAAUGAAUGGUCGGACAUGGGGGAUACUGUCUAUCAAUCUAUAGAUGUGAAUUUAACUUUUGUGUGAAAAGGCAUUAAUAUUUUAAAGGGACGAUAAGACCCUAUAAAACUUUUACGUUUAAUUGUGGCCUCAUAACUUGGGGGUAACAAGAGGUUUUCAAGGUGCGUUAUGCUGGGGCGGCAGGAAUAUAAUUUGUAACUGUUCUUAAGAUGAAAUAAUAAUAAUUAGGAGUUGACCUUAAAUUUUAGGUUGUGAGAGUAAGUUACUUUAGGGAUAACAGCGUA